Molecule: non-coding RNA, 374 nt
Organism: Xenopus tropicalis (tropical clawed frog)
Lineage: Eukaryota; Metazoa; Chordata; Amphibia; Anura; Pipidae
Source: the annotation of a RefSeq genome assembly
AUGAAGUUGCAUCUUGUUUUUUUAAUGUUUCUGGCAUGUUUAUCAGGGGUCUAUUGUGAUGUGCAACUUGCCCAGUCAGAGCCAGUGGUGAUAAAGCCGGGAGGGUCUCACAAACUGUCCUGCACAGCCUCUGGCUUCACAUUCAGUGACUACUGGAUGUACUGGUUUAGACAGGCUCCUGGGAAAGGAUUACAGUGGCUGUCUGAAAUUAAGUAUGACGGGAGUACUACAGACUAUGCUGAGUCAGUUAAAGGAAGAUUUACUAUCUCCAGAGACAAUAAUAACAACAAGUUAUAUCUGCAAAUGAACAGUCUACAAAGUGAAGACACUCCGUGUAUUACUGUGCUAGAUACACAGUGACAGAAGAACACUGA